This 612-nucleotide ribosomal RNA is filed under the name Halorubrum sp. I.C12. RNAcentral describes it as "bacterial SSU rRNA". It matches the Rfam family "Archaeal small subunit ribosomal RNA", at positions 42 to 654 of the family's 1478-position model. Lineage: Archaea; Methanobacteriati; Methanobacteriota; Halobacteria; Halobacteriales; Haloferacaceae. The record is from RNAcentral.
GAUUUAGCCAUGCUAGUCGCACGAGUUCAGACUCGUGGCGAAUAGCUCAGUAACACGUGGCCAAACUACCCUUCGGAACACAAUACCCUCGGGAAACUGAGGCUAAUAGUGUAUACCAUACCACCACUGGAAUGAGUGGUAUGCCAAACGCUCCGGCGCCGAAGGAUGUGGCUGCGGCCGAUUAGGUAGAACGGUGGGGUAACGGCCCACCGUGCCAAUAAUCGGUAUGGGUCAUGAGAGUGAGAACCCAGAGACGGAAUCUGAGACAAGAUUCCGGGCCCUACGGGGCGCAGCAGGCGCGAAACCUUUACACUGCACGACAGUGCGAUAGGGGGAUCCCAAGUGCACAGGCAUAGCGCCUGUGCUUUUCGGUACCCUAAGGCGGUACCAGAAUAAGGGCUGGGCAAGACCGGUGCCAGCCGCCGCGGUAAUACCGGCAGCCCAAGUGAUGGCCGAUCUUAUUGGGCCUAAAGCGUCCGUAGCUGGCCGCGCAAGUCCAUCGGGAAAUCCACCUGCUCAACAGGUGGGCGCCCGGUAGAAACUGCGUGGCUUGGGACCGGAAGGCGCGACGGGUACGUCCGGGGUAGGAGUGAAAUCCCGUAAUCCUGGACG